This 56-nucleotide transfer RNA is filed under the name Capra hircus (goat). It matches the Rfam family "tRNA", at positions 8 to 63 of the family's 71-position model. From Rfam's summary of the family: Transfer RNA (tRNA) molecules are approximately 80 nucleotides in length. Their secondary structure includes four short double-helical elements and three loops (D, anti-codon, and T loops). Lineage: Eukaryota; Metazoa; Chordata; Mammalia; Artiodactyla; Bovidae. RNAcentral also lists the same sequence under 1 other name. The record is from Rfam by way of RNAcentral.
UAGUUGAUCGGUAAAGCAUCUGCCUGCAAUGCAGGAGACCCAGGUUUGAUUCCUGG